This 301-nucleotide ribosomal RNA is filed under the name uncultured bacterium. Its description in RNAcentral is "partial 16S ribosomal RNA". It matches the Rfam family "Bacterial small subunit ribosomal RNA", at positions 509 to 807 of the family's 1533-position model. The record is from RNAcentral.
CAGCCGCCGCGGUAAUACGUAGGGUGCGAGCGUUAAUCGGAAUUACUGGGCGUAAAGCGUGCGCAGGCGGUUUUGUAAGACAGGCGUGAAAUCCCCGGGCUCAACCUGGGAAUGGCGCUUGUGACUGCAAAGCUAGAGUGCGGCAGAGGGGGGUGGAAUUCCACGUGUAGCAGUGAAAUGCGUAGAGAUGUGGAGGAACACCGAUGGCGAAGGCAGCCCCCUGGGCCAAUACUGACGCUCAUGCACGAAAGCGUGGGGAGCAAACAGGAUUAGAUACCCCAGUAGUCCCUGUCUCUUAUAC